UUCUAUUAGAAAUUAUUAAUAGUAAAAUCUGCUCCAUGUUUAAUAAAUAGCCGCAAUUUGUGCUAAGGUAGCAUAAUCAUUUGUCUUUUAAAUGAAGACUAGAACAAAAGAUUUAACAUUUUCAGUUUAUUUACCUAACUUACCUUAUCGAAUUUAUCUCAAAUGUAAAAAGACAUUUAUGUAAAAGAAAGACGAUAAGACCCUAUUGAACUUAACUGCAGUUAAACUGGGGCAGUAAAUUAAUUAUUAUUUUAAUAAAAUUUAUUACACAAAUAUCUAAUAAAAUUAAAUAAUUCAGUUACCAUAGGGAUAACAGCGUAAUAAUUUUCUAAAGAUCUUAUUUAAAAUUUAGAUUACGACCUCGAUGUUGAAUUAAUAACCUAACUAAGGCAAAACUUAAAAAAGGAAGUCUGUUCGACUUUUAAAAAAUUACAUGAUUUGAGUUCAGACCGGUGUAAGCCAGGUCGGUUUCUAUCUUCUAAAAAUUUUUUUACAGUACGAAAGGACCUAAAAAUUUAAUA
This 521-nucleotide ribosomal RNA is filed under the name Habronattus trimaculatus. Its description in RNAcentral is "partial 16S ribosomal RNA". It matches the Rfam family "Bacterial large subunit ribosomal RNA", at positions 1831 to 2706 of the family's 2925-position model. The record is from RNAcentral. Lineage: Eukaryota; Metazoa; Arthropoda; Arachnida; Araneae; Salticidae.